This 344-nucleotide long non-coding RNA is filed under the name Mus musculus (house mouse). RNAcentral describes it as "t-complex-associated testis expressed 2". The record is from RNAcentral. Lineage: Eukaryota; Metazoa; Chordata; Mammalia; Rodentia; Muridae.
GUGAGCGUCAGUGCAAAUGUUUUCCGAGCCCUCCUCCGGCUCAGGGUGCCUUUUGGAUCCCCCGCAUUCCUCAACCCCGGCCAGGGAGCGGCGGCGCCCUUUGUGUCUCCGCGGAGCGCAUGCCACCUCGGGGAAAACAACGAAUCUGAGUUAGAACGGGGAGAGAGAGACACUAGCGCACUUCAUGCCGGGACAGCUAAAGCCAAGUUUACAGCAGAGCCUGGCACAGUACCCGAACCACAAGGAGAUAGCAGCUACUGUGAUUGGACACGUUCAAGUGAUACCAUGCUCCAGGGAAGGCUUCGACGUGACUCAUCACAGCACUUGGCACGGAGUAACUCAAC